UAGAUAAGGCAUGUCUGCCUAACAUUGGGCCU
Molecule: non-coding RNA, 32 nt
Filed under: Mus musculus (house mouse)
Lineage: Eukaryota; Metazoa; Chordata; Mammalia; Rodentia; Muridae
Source: RNAcentral